RNAcentral lists this ribosomal RNA (465 nucleotides) under uncultured Klebsiella sp. RNAcentral describes it as "bacterial SSU rRNA". It matches the Rfam family "Bacterial small subunit ribosomal RNA", at positions 338 to 795 of the family's 1533-position model. The record is from RNAcentral. Lineage: Bacteria; Pseudomonadati; Pseudomonadota; Gammaproteobacteria; Enterobacterales; Enterobacteriaceae.
CCUACGGGUGGCUGCAGUGGGGGAUAUUGCACAAUGGGUGCAAGCCUGAUGCAGCCAUGCCGCGUGUGUGAAGAAGGCCUUCGGGUUGUAAAGCACUUUCAGCGGGGAGGAAGGCGUUAAGGUUAAUAACCUUGGCGAUUGACGUUACCCGCAGAAGAAGCACCGGCUAACUCCGUGCCAGCAGCCGCGGUAAUACGGAGGGUGCAAGCGUUAAUCGGAAUUACUGGGCGUAAAGCGCACGCAGGCGGUCUGUCAAGUCGGAUGUGAAAUCCCCGGGCUCAACCUGGGAACUGCAUUCGAAACUGGCAGGCUAGAGUCUUGUAGAGGGGGGUAGAAUUCCAGGUGUAGCGGUGAAAUUCGUAGAGAUCUGGAGGAAUACCGGUGGCGAAGGCGGCCCCCUGGACAAAGACUGACGCUCAGGUGCGAAAGCGUGGGGAGCAAACAGGAUUAGAUACCCUAGUAGUC